Molecule: ribosomal RNA, 616 nt
Filed under: uncultured cyanobacterium
Lineage: Bacteria; Bacillati; Cyanobacteriota
Description: bacterial SSU rRNA
Rfam family: Bacterial small subunit ribosomal RNA
Source: RNAcentral
GAUGAACGCUGGCGGCGUGCUUAACACAUGCAAGUCGAACGAACCUUCGGGUGAGUGGCGGACGGGUGAGUAACGCGUGGGAAUCUGCCCUCAGGAGGGGGAUAACGGCUGGAAACGGCCGCUAAUACCCCAUAUGCCGAGAGGUGAAAUGAAUUUCGCCUGAGGAUGAGCCCGCGUCUGAUUAGCUAGUUGGUGUGGUAAUGGCGCACCAAGGCUUCGAUCAGUAGCUGGUCUGAGAGGAUGAUCAGCCACACUGGGACUGAGACACGGCCCAGACUCCUACGGGAGGCAGCAGUGGGGAAUUUUCCGCAAUGGGCGAAAGCCUGACGGAGCAACGCCGCGUGAGGGAUGAAGGCCUCUGGGCUGUAAACCUCUUUUCUCAAGGAAGAAGAACUGACGGUACUUGAGGAAUAAGCCACGGCUAAUUCCGUGCCAGCAGCCGCGGUAAUACGGGAGUGGCAAGCGUUAUCCGGAAUUAUUGGGCGUAAAGCGUCCGCAGGCGGCCUUGUAAGUCUGUCGUUAAAGCGUGGAGCUUAACUCCAUUUGAGCGAUGGAAACUGUAAGGCUUGAGUGUGGUAGGGGCAGAGGGAAUUCCCGGUGUAGCGGUGAAAUGCGU